CCUACGGGAGGCAGCAGGGGGGAAUAUUGCACAAUGGAGGGAACUCUGAUGCAGCGACGCCGCGUGAGCGAUGAAGGCUUUCGAGUCGUAAAGCUCUGUCGAAUGGGAAGAUAAUGACGGUACCAUUUGAGAAAGCCCCGGCUAACUACGUGCCAGCAGCCGCGGUAAUACGUAGGGGGCGAGCGUUGUCCGGAAUUAUUGGGCGUAAAGGGUUCGUAGGCGGCAAUGUAUGUCAGGUGUGAAAGACGGUGGCUCAACCAACGCAAGCAUCUGAAACUGCAUAGCUUGAGAAAAGGAGAGGUAAGUGGAAUUCCUAGUGUAGCGGUGAAAUGCGUAGAUAUUAGGAGGAAUACCAGUGGCGAAGGCGACUUACUGGACUUUAACUGACGCUGAUGAACGAAAGCGUGGGGAGCAAACAGGAUUAGAUACCCUGGUAGUCCACGCCGUAAACGAUGAGUGCUAGGUGUCGGGUGUCAAAGCUCGGUGCCGAAGUUAACACAUUAAGCACUCCGCCUGGGGAGUACGUGCGCAAGCAUGAAACUCAAAGGAACUGACGG
This 557-nucleotide ribosomal RNA is filed under the name uncultured bacterium. Its description in RNAcentral is "bacterial SSU rRNA". It matches the Rfam family "Bacterial small subunit ribosomal RNA", at positions 338 to 916 of the family's 1533-position model. The record is from RNAcentral.